CCACCACCACCACGCACGCCGCCCAAAACUGGCAAAUGCAUCUAUUUCAUCCCCUUUGUUUGCACCGCAGCGUUGGCUGUGGCUGGCCUCUUCUUGUCGGCUCUUCUCGCCUACAAAUAUUUUCAUGCGCAGAAAAGCUUAAGGGCGCAAGUCAAAGAAUCUGCCAGACAAGUUUCUGAAACAAAAUCUAAACAUCUUUAUACCCACCUUGAAAAACAACAGCAAGAUUGUUCAGCCUAUGAGUCAAUUAGCGGCCAGCAUUUGUAAAUAAUCGCUGAUUUUUUGAACUGUUCAAUAUAGAGAACCAUAUGUUUACGAUACUAGUUUGCCAAUAUGAACACAUUAUGCUUCUCACGUUGCAAAGUAUUUCCAUUAUACAUGUUAAAAAAAGUCAUGAAUCACAUUUUAUAAUGCCCAGUUAUGAGGGUUUCCACCUUUAACACAGACUAAACCCAGACACAUUUCCAAAUCAGCCUACCUAGGUCUAUUGUCACACCCGCGCCUCUGACUUGCGGCCGUUACGUCCGCAAAUUUGCGCGCGUUAUAAAUUGCAUUAUUAUUAUAUACUUGUGGUGAACAUGCAAACAAAAAACAUGCUCUUGUAAUAUAUGCAUUGUCUUUGAAACUGAUUCAUCCACACCACAGACAGCUUUCUUUAGAGCCUCGUCUCAAAAGUGUUAGACCAGAGGACGUCAAAAGGCAAACAGCACAAAGGACAUUGAGAGAUCGGGGUGACCAGCUACAUCAUUGGGAUCUCUCUUGCCAGUAUCAAAAUAUAAAAGUAGGUUUUACUCUUUCUGCCCAUAAAACAGAAUAUGUGAAGAUGUUAAAACACCAAACUGAAACCUUUUGAUUCCCGCCAUGUUGACACAGGUGGCAACCAGUCAUUCACACUGUCAAGCCCUUGAGUAACUCGUGCUGAGAUUAAACAGACCCUCCUCCUGUUUUGCAUAAUCUACGUUAAAUUAGGAAUAAUUGUACCACUGUGAUAAUCUGGUGACUUAGCAACGUCAUGACUGUGCUCAGCUUCUGCACAAGAUGUAAUCAACAAGGUUAUUAUCAGAUGGUAUUGCUAAAUAAAAAGUGCAGGCUGUUAGCAGGGCAUUCAGUGGGAGCUCUGGCCCAGUGGUGUGAGCUCUAGAUUCUUAUGGCAGGUGCAAGUCUAUUCACAGAAUGACUGUGGAGGACGCCUAUAGACCGACUCGUCGCUCCCACCAUUUGCGCGUCGAAUCCUCGGCUUAUGACGCGAUUGCUAAAAAGUGGUCUGUGUUGAUGGAAACAGUAUAUACGUUUUGCAAGAUCUACGUAUAUCAAUCAA
Molecule: long non-coding RNA, 1318 nt
Organism: Lethenteron reissneri (Far Eastern brook lamprey)
Lineage: Eukaryota; Metazoa; Chordata; Hyperoartia; Petromyzontiformes; Petromyzontidae
Source: RefSeq, a predicted model, not a curated record